GCGUCUCACGUGGCGUGGUUACCUAAUGAGCUGAGUUGUGUGAGUGAGCUACAAACUCACUGAGUCAUGCUGGACCGGAUGUCUGCUUCGACCUAUUCUUGACCGCAGCACAUCUGUUUUCCUUACAGUAUGUAGUACGCAUUCUACCUUUUUCUACAAUGAAUCCACCAGGCAGAAAUUCCUGUACACAUCUUAUCAACAAAGAAUUUGAACCUCAAAGAGUGGCUCAAAGAGGUCAGGAGGCACCUUCAACACUUUUAUUGGAGAUCUCCUUGUCUAGCUCAUCAGGUUUGUCAGACUCUCACUCUGUCACCUAGGCUGCAGUACAGUGGUGCGAUCUCAACUCACUGCAACCUCUACCUCCUGGGUUCAAGCAAUUCUCCUGCCUCAGCCUCCCAAGUAGCUGGGAUUACAGAGCUCAUGGUUUUUAAACAACUUGUGGUAAAAAUCUGGUGGAAAAGAUAACAACAGCAUAUGAUAUGGCAGAGCUGCACAGAAGAAUCAGAACAUUGUUUUAGAGAAACGUUGGGCAAUUAAUUAAGCCAGCUGAUUAAGUUUUAAAGGAGGAAGAUGGAACUUGGAGAAGACAAACAGGCUGAAGAAAAAAAAAUAUUUUGGAAGUGAUCAGCACAUUCUAAUUGACCAUGGAUGCUCUCUGCAUUCAUGUGGUAACCCAGGGAGAGUAUGGAGUGAAAAGAGGAUCACCAAAGAAACUUGGGGUAUCUCAACAUUUAGGAUGUGUGCAGAGAAGAUGAGAUCAUUAAAAUGUACCAAGAGGUUAUAUUUAAAUGUUAGAGGGAAAUCAAAAGAAUGGCACCACAAAAAUCAAGGGUUGGACUUCUUUAUAAUUGUUUGGCUGAGUUUUUAGAUGGUGAAUUUAGAAUGUACAACUUGAGGGAGUCAUUUAUAGGAAGUGAUAACCCAAAUAUUGUAACAUAACAACUUCAAUUACUGAUGCUAAUAAAAUUUUCAGAGUGUGA
Long non-coding RNA from Gorilla gorilla gorilla (western lowland gorilla), 980 nucleotides. RefSeq lists it as uncharacterized. The transcript has 5 exons. NCBI's taxonomy places the organism in Eukaryota, Metazoa, Chordata, Mammalia, Primates, Hominidae. The record is from RefSeq and is a predicted model, not a curated record.